CAGUGAGGUAGAGGCGCGAUAUUUAACAGUCCUUGGUGGAGUGCGAGAAAACGAUGAGGCCAGGGAGAAGGAAAUGUCGCCGAAGCUUGUAAUAUGCUCGGUAUUACAUGCUGGGUCUGCAGUUAAUAGCUGCAGGACUGUCUCAAUAAAUUCCCCGAUUUAUUGAGUUGAGCUAUCUCAUUU
This 183-nucleotide non-coding RNA is filed under the name Brevibacillus panacihumi. RNAcentral describes it as "Lysine sequence". It matches the Rfam family "Lysine riboswitch aptamer". Rfam says of the family: Riboswitches are metabolite binding domains within certain messenger RNAs that serve as precision sensors for their corresponding targets. The record is from RNAcentral. RNAcentral also lists the same sequence under 1 other name. Lineage: Bacteria; Bacillati; Bacillota; Bacilli; Caryophanales; Paenibacillaceae.